CCUACGGGAGGCAGCAGUAAGGAAUAUUGGUCAAUGGAGGGAACUCUGAACCAGCCAUGCCGCGUGCAGGAUGACUGCCCUAUGGGUUGUAAACUGCUUUUGUUAGGGAAUAAACCUAUCUACGUGUAGAUAGCUGAAUGUACCUAAAGAAUAAGGAUCGGCUAACUCCGUGCCAGCAGCCGCGGUAAU
This 189-nucleotide ribosomal RNA is filed under the name uncultured Pedobacter sp. RNAcentral's name for it is "partial 16S ribosomal RNA". It matches the Rfam family "Bacterial small subunit ribosomal RNA", at positions 338 to 524 of the family's 1533-position model. Lineage: Bacteria; Pseudomonadati; Bacteroidota; Sphingobacteriia; Sphingobacteriales; Sphingobacteriaceae. The record is from RNAcentral.